Molecule: ribosomal RNA, 442 nt
Filed under: uncultured bacterium
Lineage: Bacteria
Description: partial 16S ribosomal RNA
Rfam family: Bacterial small subunit ribosomal RNA
Source: RNAcentral
CCUACGGGGAGCUGCAGUAGGGAAUCUUUCACAAUGGGCGAAAGCCUGAUGGAGCAACGCCGCGUGCAGGAUGAAGGCCUUCGGGUUGUAAACUGCUUUUAUAAGCGAGAAAUAUGAUGGUAACUUAUGAAUAAGGAUCGGCUAACUACGUGCCAGCAGCCGCGGUCAUACGUAGGAUCCGAGCAUUAUCCGGAGUGACUGGGUGUAAAGAGUUGCGUAGGUGGCAUAAUAAGUAGCUAGUGAAAUCUGGUGGCUCAACCAUUCAGACUAUUAGCUAAACUGUUAAGCUCGAGACCGUUAGGGGUAACUGGAAUUUCUAGUGUAGGAGUGAAAUCCGUAGAUAUUAGAAGGAACACCAAUAGCGUAGGCAGGUUGCUGGGACGGGUCUGACACUAAGGCACGAAAGCGUAGGGAGCAAACGGGAUUAGAUACCCGAGUAGUC